This is a long non-coding RNA of Nanorana parkeri, 962 nucleotides long. RefSeq lists it as uncharacterized. The record is from RefSeq and is a predicted model, not a curated record. Lineage: Eukaryota; Metazoa; Chordata; Amphibia; Anura; Dicroglossidae. The transcript is spliced from 2 exons.
GUGUAUGGAGAAUAGUAAUCCAAUAUGGACCCCACCUUAUAUUCAUGAAUCACCAACCUUUCAUUACCCGGAGGCCUAUCCUAGUGGAGCAGUGAGUCAGCUGGAAGAGGUAUUGGACAUAAUAAACACUGAUGUCAGCCUAUCCAGUUUUUCUACUUUUUCUCAUCUUCCAAUGGAUGAAGAUCCUAGCUGGGGCAACUGAGUCUUGCAAGCUUCAGUCUUAACACUUAUGACAAAAACCUUCUUUUACCAUGUAUAUUCUGGGUGAAAACAGCAGCUCUGGACCAAUCAUUUGUCAAGCAAAUCGCAACUGAAAAAAACAAACCAGUUACUGGCUAAUUUAUACAGGAUUUGUGGAGGCUUCAAUACAAGUAUCCAUUGUAAAUGACACCAUGGACACCAGACAGAAUGAUGUAUCAUGUAUGGCAGUGUAAAUAAUGACACAGCAUGAUAAACUAAAAAUAAACGUCCACUAUCAGGAUCUUCAGCAUUACGUUCUGUGAAGUGAUUCAUGCAGCAAGUGGUUGGCUUUAGGAAUGCGUGAGAAUGAAUUCUGAGCCCACACAGCUCAGCCUCCUACCUGCUUCGAGGCUUUCUGGCAUGCGGUGGGUUUUACGGAUUCUGGGGCUGUGUGUAGGCAUCGCUACCGUGGCAGUCAGAUGUGAUCUUUUCUAGGCCAUGUGUGGGAGGGCCAUCAAACCACAGAAUUCUUCAGCCCUUGGGAGCAUGUUUGUCACAACCUCUGAUAUUACAAGAUCACAAAAUGAAAUGAACUGCUCCAUGAAUGUAUUGUUGGAGGGAUGAUCAUACAGCAAUAUACUUGUGAAUAAGUUGGCUAAUAACCAAGCUAGACUGAGUAGGACAUAUCACAAGUAAAUAUCAGUACUCUACCAUUAACAGAAAACCAGCAUGUAUCGAUAAAGGAAAAUGUACAUAUCAUUUAUAAACGUUUUUUGUGCCAA